RNAcentral lists this ribosomal RNA (567 nucleotides) under Botrytis fabae. RNAcentral's name for it is "eukaryotic LSU rRNA". The stretch from base 204 to 357 matches the Rfam family "5.8S ribosomal RNA". Lineage: Eukaryota; Fungi; Ascomycota; Leotiomycetes; Helotiales; Sclerotiniaceae. The record is from RNAcentral.
UUGGAAGUAAAAAUCGUAACAAGGUUUCCGUAGGUGAACCUGCGGAAGGAUCAUUACAGAGUUCAUGCCCGAAAGGGUAGACCUCCCACCCUUGUGUAUUAUUACUUUGUUGCUUUGGCGAGCUGCCUUCGGGCCUUGUAUGCUCGCCAGAGAAUACCAAAACUCUUUUUAUUAAUGUCGUCUGAGUACUAUAUAAUAGUUAAAACUUUCAACAACGGAUCUCUUGGUUCUGGCAUCGAUGAAGAACGCAGCGAAAUGCGAUAAGUAAUGUGAAUUGCAGAAUUCAGUGAAUCAUCGAAUCUUUGAACGCACAUUGCGCCCCUUGGUAUUCCGGGGGGCAUGCCUGUUCGAGCGUCAUUUCAACCCUCAAGCUUAGCUUGGUAUUGAGUCUAUGUCAGUAAUGGCAGGCUCUAAAAUCAGUGGCGGCGCCGCUGGGUCCUGAACGUAGUAAUAUCUCUCGUUACAGGUUCUCGGUGUGCUUCUGCCAAAACCCAAAUUUUUCUAUGGUUGACCUCGGAUCAGGUAGGGAUACCCGCUGAACUUAAGCAUAUCAAUAGGCCGGAGGAA